GACAGAGGGUGCAAACGUUGUUCGGAAUUACUGGGCGUAAAGCGCGUGUAGGCGGCUCGGCAAGUCGGAUGUGAAAGCCCUGGGCUUAACCUAGGAAGUGCAUUCGAAACUGCCAAGCUUGAGUUCUGGAGAGGAAGGCGGAAUUCUCGGUGUAGAGGUGAAAUUCGUAGAUAUCGAGAGGAACACCGGUGGCGAAGGCGGCCUUCUGGACAGCAACUGACGCUGAGACGCGAAAGCGUGGGGAGCGAACAGG
RNAcentral lists this ribosomal RNA (253 nucleotides) under uncultured bacterium. RNAcentral's name for it is "partial 16S ribosomal RNA". It matches the Rfam family "Bacterial small subunit ribosomal RNA", at positions 524 to 776 of the family's 1533-position model. The record is from RNAcentral.